RNAcentral lists this ribosomal RNA (497 nucleotides) under uncultured bacterium. RNAcentral's name for it is "partial 16S ribosomal RNA". It matches the Rfam family "Bacterial small subunit ribosomal RNA", at positions 29 to 507 of the family's 1533-position model. The record is from RNAcentral.
UAUGAACGCUGGCGGCGUGCCUAAUACAUGCAAGUCGAGCGAACAGAUAAGGAGCUUGCUCCUUUGACGUUAGCGGCGGACGGGUGAGUAACACGUGGGUAACCUACCUAUAAGACUGGAAUAACUCCGGGAAACCGGGGCUAAUGCCGGAUAACAUUUAGAACCGCAUGGUUCUAAAGUGAAAGAUGGUUUUGCUAUCACUUAUAGAUGGACCCGCGCCGUAUUAGCUAGUUGGUAAGGUAACGGCUUACCAAGGCAACGAUACGUAGCCGACCUGAGAGGGUGAUCGGCCACACUGGAACUGAGACACGGUCCAGACUCCUACGGGAGGCAGCAGUAGGGAAUCUUCCGCAAUGGGCGAAAGCCUGACGGAGCAACGCCGCGUGAGUGAUGAAGGUCUUCGGAUCGUAAAACUCUGUUAUUAGGGAAGAACAAAUGUGUAAGUAACUGUGCACGUCUUGACGGUACCUAAUCAGAAAGCCACGGCUAACUACGUG